AAAGUGGAGCAAUCCAUGAGUAAAGUGGCGACCGGGUGAGUAACACGUGACUAACCUGCCUUCGAGUGGGGGAUAACCUCGGGAAACCGGGGCUAAUACCGCAUAAUGCCUUCGGGUUAAAGGAGCAAUUCGCUUGAAGAGGGGGUCGCGGCUGAUUAGCUAGUUGGUGAGGUAAUGGCUCACCAAGGCGAUGAUCGGUAGCCGGCCUGAGAGGGCGCACGGCCACACUGGAACUGAAACACGGUCCAGACUCCUACGGGAGGCAGCAGUGGGGAAUUUUGCGCAAUGGGGGAAACCCUGACGCAGCAACGCCACGUGGAGGAUGAAGUCCCUUGGGACGUAAACUCCUUUCGACCGGGACGAUUAUGACGGUACCGGUGGAAGAAGCCCCGGCUAACUUCGUGCCAGCAGCCGCGGUAAUACGAGGGGGGCUAGCGUUGUUCGGAAUUAUUGGGCGUAAAGGGCGCGUAGGCGGUGCGGUAAGUCACCUGUGAAACCUCUGGGCUUAACUCAGAGCCUGCAGGCGAAACUGCCGUGCUGGAGUGUGGGAGAGGUGCGUGGAAUUCCCGGUGUAGCGGUGAAAUGCGUANAUAUCGGGAGGAACACCUGUGGCGAAAGCGGCGCACUGGACCACAACUGACGCUGAGGCGCGAAAGCUAGGGGAGCAAACAGGAUUAGAUACCCUGGUAGUCCUAGCCCUAAACUAUGGAUGCUUGGUGUGUUGGGUACCCAAUCCCAACGUGCCG
This 746-nucleotide ribosomal RNA is filed under the name uncultured Bacillota bacterium. Its description in RNAcentral is "bacterial SSU rRNA". It matches the Rfam family "Bacterial small subunit ribosomal RNA", at positions 71 to 848 of the family's 1533-position model. Lineage: Bacteria; Bacillati; Bacillota. The record is from RNAcentral.